RNAcentral lists this ribosomal RNA (301 nucleotides) under uncultured bacterium. RNAcentral describes it as "partial 16S ribosomal RNA". It matches the Rfam family "Bacterial small subunit ribosomal RNA", at positions 509 to 807 of the family's 1533-position model. The record is from RNAcentral.
CAGCCGCCGCGGUAAUACGUAGGGUGCGAGCGUUGUCCGGAAUUACUGGGCGUAAAGAGCUCGUAGGCGGUUUGUCGCGUCGUCUGUGAAAUUCUGCAGCUUAACUGUAGGCGUGCAGGCGAUACGGGCAGACUUGAGUACUACAGGGGAGACUGGAAUUCCUGGUGUAGCGGUGAAAUGCGCAGAUAUCAGGAGGAACACCGGUGGCGAAGGCGGGUCUCUGGGUAGUAACUGACGCUGAGGAGCGAAAGCGUGGGUAGCGAACAGGAUUAGAUACCCCAGUAGUCCCUGUCUCUUAUAC